AACGAACGCUGGCGGCAUGCCUAACACAUGCAAGUCGAACGAGACCUUCGGGUCUAGUGGCGCACGGGUGCGUAACGCGUGGGAACCUGCCCUUAGGUUCGGAAUAACUCCCCGAAAGGGGUGCUAAUACCGGAUAAUGUCUUCGGACCAAAGAUUUAUCGCCUUUGGAUGGGCCCGCGUUGGAUUAGCUAGUUGGUAGGGUAAAAGCCUACCAAGGCGACGAUCCAUAGCUGGUCUGAGAGGAUGAUCAGCCACACUGGGACUGAGACACGGCCCAGACUCCCACGGGGGGCGAAAGGGGGAAAUAUUGGACAAGGGGGGAAAGCCUAGGCCAGCAAAGCGGGGUGAGGGAUGAAGGCGUAAGGGUUGAAAAGCUCUUUUCCCCGGGAUGAUAGACGGUAGCCCGGGAGAAAAACCCCGCGCAAUCCCCG
RNAcentral lists this ribosomal RNA (431 nucleotides) under uncultured bacterium. Its description in RNAcentral is "partial 16S ribosomal RNA". It matches the Rfam family "Bacterial small subunit ribosomal RNA", at positions 29 to 505 of the family's 1533-position model. The record is from RNAcentral.